This 85-nucleotide transfer RNA is filed under the name Bacteroidota bacterium. RNAcentral describes it as "Bacteroidetes bacterium (soil metagenome) tRNA-Ser". It matches the Rfam family "tRNA". From Rfam's summary of the family: Transfer RNA (tRNA) molecules are approximately 80 nucleotides in length. Lineage: Bacteria; Pseudomonadati; Bacteroidota. The record is from RNAcentral.
GGAGAAAUGGCAGAGUGGUCUAAUGCGGCAGUCUUGAAAACUGUUGUACCGUAAGGUACCUGGGGUUCGAAUCCCUAUUUCUCCG